RNAcentral lists this unclassified non-coding RNA (219 nucleotides) under uncultured Actinomycetes bacterium. RNAcentral's name for it is "uncultured actinobacterium contains 16S-23S intergenic spacer region". Lineage: Bacteria; Bacillati; Actinomycetota; Actinomycetes. The record is from RNAcentral.
UCCGGUUUGGCACCGGCAGUCUCCCUAGAGUUCCCGGCAUUACCCGCUGGCAACUAAGGACAGGGGUUGCGCUCGUUGCGCCACUUAAGGCAACACCUCACGGCACGAGCUGACGACAGCCAUGCACCACCUGUGCGGGCUCCGAGGAGCGCCGUAUUUCUACGGUUUCACCCCGCAUGUCAAGCCCAGGUAAGGUGGGGAUGACGUCAAGGUACGGAC